This 305-nucleotide ribosomal RNA is filed under the name uncultured bacterium. Its description in RNAcentral is "bacterial SSU rRNA". It matches the Rfam family "Bacterial small subunit ribosomal RNA", at positions 335 to 658 of the family's 1533-position model. The record is from RNAcentral.
UACCUACGGGGCGCAGCAGUGGGGAAUAUUGCACAAUGGGGGAAACCCUGAUGCAGCGACGCCGCGUGGGUGACGAAGUAUUUCGGUAUGUAAGGCCCUAUCAGCAGGGAAGAAGAUGACAGUACCUGACUAAGAAGCCCCGGCUAACUACGUGCCAGCAGCCGCGGUAAUACGUAUGGUGCAAGCGUUAUCCGGAUUUACUGGGUGUAAAGGGAGCGUAGACGGCUGUGCAAGUCUGAAGUGAAAGGCCGGGGCCCAACCCCGGGAGUGCUUUGGAAACUGUGCGGCUAGAGUGUCGGAGAGGC